UACGAAGGUCCCGAGCGUUGUUCGGAAUCACUGGGCGUAAAGGGAGCGUAGGCGGCGCGGUAAGUCAGAUGUGAAAUCCCGGGGCUCAACCCCGGAACUGCAUCCGAUACUGCCGUGCUAGAGGAUUGGAGAGGUAGCUGGAAUUCUUGGUGUAGCAGUGAAAUGCGUAGAGAUCAAGAGGAACACUCGUGGCGAAAGCGGCCGCCUGGCCUGUAACUGACGCUGAGGCGCGAAAGCGUGGGGAGCGAACCGG
This 253-nucleotide ribosomal RNA is filed under the name uncultured bacterium. RNAcentral's name for it is "partial 16S ribosomal RNA". It matches the Rfam family "Bacterial small subunit ribosomal RNA", at positions 524 to 776 of the family's 1533-position model. The record is from RNAcentral.